AGCCACAGAGUAUACAGAGGCGGAACUCGCGGCGAUUCCUUUGUUCUUUGUGUCCCCGUGCAACGUCAUUUCCACGCGCCACGCAAAUUGCUCUGGCAAGUGUCAUUCGUCGUGUUUUCAGUCAAAAGCAUAGGAAAAACACCGUUCGAAAGUAGAAAAAUAAAUAUUUUUGCGAAGUUGCUCAACCGAUCUUCACUUUGGAACUCAAAUUUGAAAGAUAAAUGGUAAGUGGUUAUUUUUAUGUUUAAAUAUAUACGUUUAUAGGCUAAAUACAAAGAAAAAAUAGUAUAAUACAAAUUACAAUCUCGGUGCUUGUGAUGUUCUUGCCAAGAAGCAGAUUCCCAUUUCGCUAAAUUAAUGCGGGCCAAACGUAUUGCUUUCCUGUCUUUUACAUUAAUAAGAAAGCAUAGGUGCUGAUUUGAAACACGUCCAUCAGGUUCCAUGCAUGUAGCUUUGCGAUUUGUGAGCAAAAAUUAAAAGUUAAACUACCUAUGUUUUUAAUACUUUCUGUGCAACUAAUAACCACAUUCACAAAUAUAUUCUCCAGCAAAGAAACGUUUCUUUACGGAUUGUUAAUCCGCAUUUGAAGGCAUGCUUAUGCCUUCAAAGGUCAGAGGUCUUCACAUGCAGAAUAGCAGAGACUAGUGUCAUUGACAUCCUUUGUCACAAAAUUAUGAUGGCAUAUUGGACAGCUAUGUUGGAUAAGGCACUUCCUUAAUAAAUAGCUUGACACAUAAGUUCAUGCAGACUAAGUUUUGUUCAAUUUCAUUUGUUUUGUAGUCGGUAUCUUCAACUGCUUGGAUUAGUGGUGGGCUUGUCUGAUCAUUUCCUGCAGAUAAAUCAGAUUGGCUAGGGUGAAAUGCAAUCAAAUAGGCAUCAGAAUCUUCAGCACAGCUGCCAAUUGAAAGUGGUGUCAAAAUAUUAUCUACAAAUAAUAUGCAAAAUGCUCUGGUGAACUGGAUGGGACUAAUUGGUUGUCCCAAUCCCCCCCUGCUGCCUAAUGAGGCCAAAGAAGUUCUCCAGAGGCAUCUUGUCAUGAGAAACUCCAAGGAAUGAUGUUGGUUAAGGUCUUGAAAUGUAAAUACUACAGUGUAAUAACUACUGACAGUGUAAAUACUACAACAGUGAAAUGUAAAUACAACAGUGUAAUUGGGGUUUAAAAAUACAAAGUUUAUUUUAAUAAA
RNAcentral lists this long non-coding RNA (1184 nucleotides) under Paramuricea clavata. The record is from RNAcentral. Lineage: Eukaryota; Metazoa; Cnidaria; Anthozoa; Malacalcyonacea; Plexauridae.